RNAcentral lists this ribosomal RNA (497 nucleotides) under uncultured bacterium. RNAcentral's name for it is "partial 16S ribosomal RNA". It matches the Rfam family "Bacterial small subunit ribosomal RNA", at positions 28 to 507 of the family's 1533-position model. The record is from RNAcentral.
GAUGAACGCUGGCGGCGUGCCUAAUACAUGCAAGUCGAGCGAACGGACGAGAAGCUUGCUUCUCUGAUGUUAGCGGCGGACGGGUGAGUAACACGUGGAUAACCUACCUAUAAGACUGGGAUAACAUCGGGAAACCGGAGCUAAUACCGGAUAAUAUUUUGAACCGCAUGGUUCAAAAGUGAAAGACGGUCUUGCUGUCACUUAUAGAUGGAUCCGCGCUGCAUUAGCUGGUUGGUAAGGUAACGGCUUACCAAGGCAACGAUGCAUAGCCGACCUGAGAGGGUGAUCGGCCACACUGGAACUGAGACACGGUCCAGACUCCUACGGGAGGCAGCAGUAGGGAAUCUUCCGCAAUGGGCGAAAGCCUGACGGAGCAACGCCGCGUGAGUGAUGAAGGUCUUCGGAUCGUAAAACUCUGUUAUUAGGGAAGAACAUAUGUGUAAGUAACUGUGCACAUCUUGACGGUACCUAAUCAGAAAGCCACGGCUAACUACGUG